This 201-nucleotide microRNA precursor is filed under the name Oryza glumipatula. Its description in RNAcentral is "MIR812 microRNA precursor family". It matches the Rfam family "MIR812 microRNA precursor family". The record is from Rfam by way of RNAcentral. Lineage: Eukaryota; Viridiplantae; Streptophyta; Magnoliopsida; Poales; Poaceae.
UAUAAGGGAUUUUGAGUUUUUGCUUACAAUGUUUGACCACUCGUCUUAUUCAAAUUUUUUUGAAAUUAUUAUUUAUUUUAUUUGUGACUUACUUUAUUAUCUACAGUACUUUAAGCACAACUUUUCGUUUUUAUAUUUGCAAAAAAAAUUGAAUAAGACGAGUGGUCAAACGUUGUAAGCAAAAACUCAAAAUCCCUUAUA